This 449-nucleotide ribosomal RNA is filed under the name uncultured bacterium. RNAcentral describes it as "bacterial SSU rRNA". It matches the Rfam family "Bacterial small subunit ribosomal RNA", at positions 29 to 521 of the family's 1533-position model. The record is from RNAcentral.
AACGAACGCUGGCGGCAUGCCUAACACAUGCAAGUCGAACGAGACCUUCGGGUCUAGUGGCGCACGGGUGCGUAACGCGUGGGAAUCUGCCCUUGGGUUCGGAAUAACAGUUAGAAAUGACUGCUAAUACCGGAUAAUGUCUUCGGACCAAAGAUUUAUCGCCCAGGGAUGAGCCCGCGUAGGAUUAGCUAGUUGGUGAGGUAAAGGCUCACCAAGGCGACGAUCCUUAGCUGGUCUGAGAGGAUGAUCAGCCACACUGGGACUGAGACACGGCCCAGACUCCUACGGGAGGCAGCAGUGGGGAAUAUUGGACAAUGGGCGAAAGCCUGAUCCAGCAAUGCCGCGUGAGUGAUGAAGGCCUUAGGGUUGUAAAGCUCUUUUACCCGGGAUGAUAAUGACAGUACCGGGAGAAUAAAGCCCCCGGCUAACUCCGUGCCAGCAGCCGCGGU